Molecule: long non-coding RNA, 370 nt
Organism: Gossypium arboreum
Lineage: Eukaryota; Viridiplantae; Streptophyta; Magnoliopsida; Malvales; Malvaceae
Exons: 2
Source: RefSeq, a predicted model, not a curated record
UUUUUUAUUUUUCAACACUUCUCAAAAAAGAAAAAAAAACAAAGGGAAAACCUCUCAAACUCUCUCCCCCUUUCAGCAUCCGGCCAAGGUCCGAUCAUCGGCCUGACGUCGUUCGCCGAAAAUGAAAAGGUGCAAGUGGAUGGUGGCCACAGUGGCGGUGGCAGAAGGUGGUUGAAGGUAGAAGGCCCUUGGUGCGGCGCACCUAGGGUUUGAAAUUUCUGAUUUUUUUCUUUUCUUUCUUUUUUUGUGUUGUUUUUAGGUGUUGUUGGGUUUGGUUGAUUGGGCUUUUAGUUUGGGAUGGGUUUGUUUUACGAGCCCAAACAAAAUGGGCUAGUACAAAUAUUAUAAUGAUAAUACUUUUGUUUAUCUA